AAAGAGGCUACAUUAAUAGCAGAAAAUGUUUAUUAGUAUUAAAUUGAAUAUUCUAUCCAGCAGCAAAAUAUGAAUUUGACCUCAUUUUAAAUUAAAACAAAAAUGUAGGUAUAAUUUUUUUUACUUAAUAUUUGUUGUCAAAUUUCUUUAUUUUAAAUAUUUAGGUACCUAAACUUUUUUUUCUUUAAGCAUUGUUUAAAAAUUGAUAAGGGGGAAAAUAAUGCCAAUUAAAACCUACACAUUUAUACUAUUGUA
Cinara cedri is the source of this 255-nucleotide non-coding RNA. Lineage: Eukaryota; Metazoa; Arthropoda; Insecta; Hemiptera; Aphididae. The record is from the annotation of a GenBank genome assembly.